RNAcentral lists this ribosomal RNA (486 nucleotides) under uncultured bacterium. RNAcentral's name for it is "partial 16S ribosomal RNA". It matches the Rfam family "Bacterial small subunit ribosomal RNA", at positions 28 to 507 of the family's 1533-position model. The record is from RNAcentral.
GAUGAACGCUGGCGGCGUGCCUAAUACAUGCAAGUCGAACGCUGGAGAUCUAGCUUGCUAGAUCGAAGGAGUGGCGAACGGGUGAGUAAUACAUAAGCAACCUACCCACGAAGACUGGGAUAAUCCCUGGAAACGGGGACUAAUACCGGAUAGGUAAUCGGAAGGCAUCUUCUGGUUAUUAAAGGUUAAAAACACUGGUGGAUGGGCUUAUGGCGCAUUAGUUAGUUGGUGAGGUAACGGCCCACCAAGACGAUGAUGCGUAGCCGGCCUGAGAGGGUGAACGGCCACAUUGGGACUGAGACACGGCCCAGACUCCUACAGGAGGCAGCAGUAGGGAAUUUUCGGCAAUGGGGGCAACCCUGACCGAGCAACGCCGCGUGAGUGAAGACGGCCUUCGGGUUGUAAAGCUCUGUUGUAAGGGAAGAACGGUAGAUAGAGAAUAUCUAAGUGACGGUACCUUACCAGAAAGCCACGGCUAACUACGUG